Molecule: ribosomal RNA, 498 nt
Filed under: uncultured bacterium
Lineage: Bacteria
Description: partial 16S ribosomal RNA
Rfam family: Bacterial small subunit ribosomal RNA
Source: RNAcentral
AUUGAACGCUGGCGGCAGGCCUAACACAUGCAAGUCGAGCGGUUGAGGUAGCUUGCUACCGAUGCAGCGGCGAACGGGUGAGUAAUACAUGGGAAUCUGCCUGGUAGUGGGGGACAACGUUUCGAAAGGAACGCUAAUACCGCAUACGCCCUACGGGGGAAAGGGGGGGAUCGCAAGACCUCUCGCUAUCAGAUGAGCCCAUGUCAGAUUAGCUAGUUGGUGAGGUAAAGGCUCACCAAGGCGACGAUCUGUAACUGGUCUGAGAGGAUGAUCAAUCACACUGUAACUGAGACACGGUCCAGGCUCCUACGGGAGGCAGCAGUGGGGAAUAUUGGACAAUGGGGGCAACCCUGAUCCAGCCAUGCCGCGUGUGUGAAGAAGGCCUUAGGGUUGUAAAGCACUUUCAGUGGGGAGAAAGGUGAUUCACCUAAUACGUGAGUCAAUUGAUGCUACCCACAGAAGAAGCACCGGCUAACUCCGUGCCAGCCGCCGCGGUAA